RNAcentral lists this ribosomal RNA (494 nucleotides) under uncultured bacterium. RNAcentral's name for it is "partial 16S ribosomal RNA". It matches the Rfam family "Bacterial small subunit ribosomal RNA", at positions 28 to 507 of the family's 1533-position model. The record is from RNAcentral.
GACGAACGCUGGCGGCGUGCUUAACACAUGCAAGUCGAACGGAGAAGCGCGUUCCUUUUUGGUGGGAGUGGAGGAGUGGCGAAGGGGUGAGUAACACGUGAGUAACCUGCUCCCAUCUUCUGGAUAACCGGAUGAAAGUGUGGCUAAUACGGGAUAUUCUGGGUCUGUCGCAUGAUGGGUCUGGGAAAGAUAUUGUUUCGGUGGUGGAUGGGCUCGCGGCCUAUCAGCUUGUUGGUGGGGUAAUGGCUUACCAAGGCGGUGACGGGUAGCCGGCCUGAGAGGGUGGGCGGUAACAGAGGGGCGGCGACACGGACCAGCCUCCGAGGGGAGGCAGCAGUGGAGAUUAUGGAAUGAGGGGAGCAAGGCUGGUGCAGCGACGCGGCGGGAGGGAUGGAGUCCGUCGGGUUGUGAUCCGCUUUCGCGAGUGAAGCAGGGCGGCCUCGUUUGUGGGUGGGUUGACGGUAGCUGAAGAGGAAGCGCCGGCUAACUACGUG